GUUGAGCAUCCCUGCUUUAGGGUAUUUUAUUUUUAUUAAAUUUUUUGUAAAUCUGUAAAUUAUCCGAAUGCUAAUAGUAUACAAAUCAAUAUUCACAUUACAAGCAUCCUCAUUCCGGUCGAAAUCACUGAGGAUGGGAUUUUACUGCACAGGCCACACACAGGGGCUUUUAAUCGAGAAAACAUUACAUAAUCUGGUAUUACUGUACUUUUUUAUGUUUCUAGAUUGUUUUAACCCUAUGUGUGACAUUCCUACUUCUAACAAUUCAGACAGAUUUUUACACAGGUAAGCUUUGUCUGACAAUUGCUGGAUAAUAUAAUGAACAUUGGGUUAUGGAUUUUUUUUUUUGGCCAUGUAUGUUAUGCAAAGCAGCUCUCCUCGGUAAGGAAGAAAACGGUCUGUAUUUCUAUGAACUGACACUGGAGGUAACUACUGCCUAAGUCAAUGUCUGACCAUAGAAGAGCCGUGGAACAUGACUAGGGAUUUAGCCAAGCCAAAGUCUCCUCCAAAAGGAAAAGACACUAGAAAGACUGUUCACUUCCCUCUGGUGGAGAGAUCAUUUGCAUAAUUUUUCCCAGGAAGCGUUGCCUGUAACACGUCAUACCAGUUGGGUCUCUUUAAUCAGAACCCCUUAGAGGUGGCCAUAUACUUAAUAGGCUUGGUAAACAGCUGGUUCCAAAAAGUGGAUUUUUCUUAAUUCGUGUCUGUGAAUACUUUUUGGGACACUUGUGUAUGUAUGGCACCAUAAUGUAACUUAACUGGUCCAGAACAUAAUAUAUUUUGGAGUCAGUGAGCAGACUGAACUUGAUGCCCCUCAAUCCUCUGUAAUGUUACCCAUUGGAAAGGAAUUGUAAGUCUGUUUUUUGAAAUCUCUUAUUUUUGGUGGAUCUAGCAUGUAAGACAAGUCUGCAAGUCGUUUGCAAGUUGAGGAAACUUCUUGACUUUUCAGUCUGGGAUUUGAUGUUUUUGGAACUUACAGUUUAAUGGUGGAUGGAGUAAUUCAUUAGGUAAAUUAAUAUAGCAUUCUGGUAUGGCUGUGUACCUAAAUGGUCAAUAUCGCUCUACUGCUGCACCAGUGCUCCUUAGUUUACACAAGUGGGGUUCUUAAUACUAGAGGGGAAUAAUCUGGAGCAGGGGGGAAGAUAAGGCCACGUUCACAGUAGUGUUGUGAAUCCCGUAGCGUGAUCAGAUGGGCUGAUCUGUUGGUCAGACGAAAACCGCUGCAUGCAGGGUUAUCUGUUGGGCCAAAAACUGGCAUUUAUGCCGGAAAAGCAGCAUGGUGACCGGCAGAUCCCAUUAUAAUCCAUGGGAAUCCAGUGGUACACUGUCGUAUCUGGAUUUCAAACGUAACUGUGAAUGGGGCCUAAGGCGGAUACUAAACAGUAUGGAGGUUUCCUGGUCAUAGGCAUGAGGCCAAUUUAGCACAUCCAUAAUACAGCUGCAAUUUGGCAACCUUUUUAUGGGCUGCAGCAGAACUACCACGGGUUCUACCAAAGUAGACCGAUCACAGUCGAAUCUUAUACUGAUCCAGGAAUCGGUUGUUUAGAACCAUGACGGCUAUAUCAGGGUUGUGUGAAAACUGCUUUAGAUGUUAGAUUGGUAGGCCCAUGGUUAUGAAAGUGGACUUGAGUGCUGACACAUAGCAGUCAGGGCAGUUGUAAUUUGAUGGAAUAUAUAUAUAUAUAUGAUCCAUGACACAGAGGGGGGGGGGGAAUCACAGAAGAGAACCUCAUGGGCUGGGUCAAUAAGGGGGAUGGUCUAUUUUCACUUUUAUUUGCAUAUCCACUACAGUAAGCUGGAAUAUAGUCAUGUAUUUGUUAGAAUCAGGUCAUCCAUUCUCUAACUCUUCUUCCUUUAGCUCUAGUAUAUUUCUUCUGGUCCCAUAUAACCGGUACUGUCAUUUUAGUGAAUAACCUUUUUAUUAUUUUUAUUGACAUUUGCAUGCUAAAGUCUGAGAAGCAAGAAUAAUUUAUUCAGGACGUUAUAUAUUGCCGCAUACGAAAAAGUGAAAUCCUCUUCUUUUUUUAUUUUAUUUUUUAUUUACCUGACUGAUGCUUUUGUGUUCGAGUACAGAGUAUGUUUUGUAAGAACCUGACAUCCAUUUAUCACUUAUUUAUAAUGAACACGGUUUUUAUUGGACUCAAACUCUUCUACGACUGUGAAAAUGUAUGCUUUUCUUGUAAAAAAAAUAAAUAAAUAAAAAUAACUCCACACAUUAGGAUACUGGACUUGUCGGAGGGGGCGAUGUCUUUGGAAUGGGGGGGAUAAGACUGUACCGUCAUUGCCCCUAACAUUUAUUUUGGAGCUCUGUAUCCAGGCGUCUCACAAGGGGUUUUAAUAUUGGCACAAAAGAAAAAUGGAAUAAAAGAUAUGUGAGUGCAACUUUUCUUGUCUUGUUUGAUUUUAUUGAAUUACACAGACUUCAUUUCUACCGAAUGACUGCUAAAACAUGGCUGCUUUCUUCCAGAAAUUACGGAUGCAACACAGAUACAUUGGUGUCUGAUCCAGGUUAGAUUUUCACUGAUAAGCAUCUCUUAUCAGUGAAAAUCUUACACAAAUCAAACACCGAUGUAUCUGUGUUGUAUCCAUGAUUUUUACGGACCCGAAGACUUCUUCAGAUUUUAGCUGAGCAGUGUCCGUGUAACACGGAUGACACGCGGUGCGCAAAAAAGAGGACCAAACACAGAUUCCGGUUGAAACAGACAGAUUAAUUUUUUUCAUGGAUGUCAAACAGACGCAAAAAUGUGAACGACGGCUAAGAGAGGGGUCAACAGACUGCUGCAUGCUCCUCGGCAUCCUCCUGAAUUAGGGCCGGAAUGUGAUCAAAGGAGUAUGCUGAAAAAAGACUUUGUAGCGGCGUCAUUGUAGUCAUGGGCCCCAAACUGGAGAUAGUAAUGAAGUUUUUACCUGCGCAAAACAAUGCGUUUUGGGACUGCACCAGUCCCUUCCUCAGGUCAAUAACAACUUAGUUGACCACAGAGGCCAGUCGUUAACUGCAGCAACGAAAUUAAUAAUGUACCUUAUGUACCAGGGAACACGAGGCAGAAGUGGCUACUUUAUUUUAUACUAUAUCCUCAGGUUUCUUAAAGCAGUUAUCCAUUCUUUACAUAUCCGUAACCUAUCCUGUAGCUGGGCCUUUAAUAUCCGAUUGUGACAUUGAUGACUAGGGUUAAACGAAUCGGGUUCGGAUGGCUGUAUCCGAACCUGAUUAGUUUAAAACUUCAUUAAUGAUAUGGGCUCCGUCUUAGUGUAAAAUGUAUUGGGGUCUUUCUGAAGUUUCUGCAAAUAUUGCGAGACUUACUUCGUCUCGCCUCUAUCACGUUAGUUCUUCUUUCAAAAACU
Long non-coding RNA from Bufo bufo (common toad), 3342 nucleotides. RefSeq lists it as uncharacterized. NCBI's taxonomy places the organism in Eukaryota, Metazoa, Chordata, Amphibia, Anura, Bufonidae. The transcript has 3 exons. The record is from RefSeq and is a predicted model, not a curated record.